The sequence is a small nucleolar RNA, 78 nucleotides long. Its record names the gene SNORD34. It matches the Rfam family "Small nucleolar RNA SNORD34". From Rfam's summary of the family: snoRNA U34 is found in intron 5 of the ribosomal protein L13a gene in humans. U34 is a member of the C/D class of snoRNA which contain C (UGAUGA) and D (CUGA) box motifs, and functions in directing site-specific 2'-O-methylation of 25S rRNAs. Although the selection of the target nucleotide requires the antisense element and the conserved box D or D' of the snoRNA, the methyltransferase activity is thought to reside in one of the protein components. The record is from Ensembl.
GCUUGUCUGUGAUGCUAUUUUUCUUUACCUACAUUGUUUGAGUUUCCAAUGAGAACAAUUUAUUCAUCUGAGACAUUU